AGCUUUGCGCAGUGGCAGUAUCGUAGCCAAUGAGGUUUACCCGAGGCGCGAUUAUUGCUAAUUGAAAACUUAAAUGGUUGCUAACUUGAAGCUAGAAGUCCAUCAUCUUGAUUUUUGCUCAUUUUUGAUUUUCCUAAGAAA
Molecule: small nuclear RNA, 141 nt
Organism: Hippopotamus amphibius kiboko
Lineage: Eukaryota; Metazoa; Chordata; Mammalia; Artiodactyla; Hippopotamidae
Product: U4 spliceosomal RNA
Exons: 1
Source: RefSeq, a predicted model, not a curated record